AAUAUGAGAACGGGCUCUGCAGGCAGGGUCUGCGGAGAUGCCACCGUCAGUGCGGCACUGCGGGGAACUGACCUCAGCGGGCGUGGUGCAAAUGAAUCCCGAAUUCCACUUAGUCAACCGAAUAGGGGUUUCUUCUUUUGCCUCAUGGCCUUAUAACAGUCCCCCAAAGUUCAGCAAAUAGGAUGCGUCUGCCCCUCUAGGCUGUUCAUUCCUCACCAUAUAUUGUGUGGAUCCAUAUGGCAUAAAUGAUUUAAAUACCGCUGCAUACAAAAUACACAUUAGAAUUUAUUUCUGAAAUCAAGAUUCCAUUACCAGUGAUGGAAGUUAUUGUUCACAAAUGGGAGAUGCCUGUGCAUGGCUACUGCUGAAACCUGACCGCGGAAAAGAUAAACUAUAAACCGGUGUAUUUGCUCGGGGUCGAGCUCAUUCACAGACUUAUUCAAAUCAGGUCCGUGGGGUUUCUUCUUGCCAGCUCUCCAUCCUGGAUUCCUCUGCAGUCCCUUCCUUCAGGUGACAGGAUGGAGCAAGUUCCAUUACGUUCCAUCUCGGCUUAAUCCCUUGCUGUGACGAGAAGUGGAAAAUGCAAUUAAAUGCACUUCUGAAACUCCCCCGUCCGAGUGCUGUUUACAGCGUGGCCUGCAUUAAGCAGGCUGAGCAGGGCCACUCCUUUUGCAUCUGGUGGCUUUCCGCAGCUUUGGGAAAGCUGUUUGUAAAUUAAAGCAUUCAGUCAGCCGCUCUGAGAAUCAAUCCCAGUUUGUUAUAAAAGAAUAUGGUUGAAAUCAACAUUCGUGUGGGUUGUGUUUGGAGUGGGGUUUCAGAGGGGAAGGGCUGGCGGGACGAUCCCUGGAGCCUGAACGUGGGAUCCAUCUGGUUCACCAAAUGGCAGAGGAAUUUCAAUAUUAACAGACCUUAAAUUUACCUUAAAAUAGGAUUCUGAGCCAAGCGGGACUUUUCCUCCCUCACCUUAAAUGUUCAUCCAUUAUUUAGAUAAGCAGAAGCUGCCGUGCAAAGCUGCUCAUUUCUUUCCAAGGUGCCACUUUCUUGCCUCACCAUAGUUCCUUUGCUUCUCUCCUAGGGAAGGAUAUUAAGUGACAGGUGACUCAGAGCCGGGGUGAGACGAAACCUGCUCUUGGGUCCACCUAGGGUUUAGUGGGUGGCCGUGACCAGGACAGGGAGCCUGCUGGUGAUGCUGUUUUUGCCUACAUGUCAUCAGCUUGAAGAGGUCGCCACGCUUCCUGCAUAAAGUAGCCUUACUCUGUCUCUGACUGGUUGCGGAUCUGAUAUGGCAAAGCACCCAGCAAACAUUUCUUCAGGGGCUCCGUUGAGGCUCAGUGGCUGUGGCUGUGGCAGAGGCUGCAGCUUCGGCUCCAACUGUACCCCGAGCCUGGGAACUUUUGUGUGCUGUGUAUGCAGCCAUAAAGCAACAACAACAACAACAACAACACAUUUCUUCAGCACAUUUCCUCAAACGGUGGCCAGUUUUCACACCACCUCCUCCUCUUGAAUCUUCCUUCCUCUCUCACAAACACUAAGAGCGUUCAGUAAGCAGCAGCGACACGGGUGUUGAGAGGCUGAUGUGAACCACGCAUGGUGCUAAGGGCUCUGGAUCAAAAGGGGCAUCGUAAAAGGACAUCGCAUGGGUCCCCGUCUUCCCCAGACCCUCUCGUCAGGGGACCGUCUGGGCUUCCACAAAAAGCUUUAACCCCACACUUCACCCAAACCGCCCAAGGCAACCUGUGUGUCAGAAUUCCCAGAUCUGCCAGCCCCGGGGGUCUUACUGUUUGGUGCGGUUUAUAAACCCAUGUGCUCACCCAUCACAGGGAGCUCCUCACCCCCACCACGAUGGACCCGUCUCUGAGACGUCUGCCCCCUGCCCCCCACCCCGAACUCCUUCCACUUUUAUUGUGGGCAUAAAAUCACACAGCUGCUGAGGGUAGAAUGAAGUCCCCAGGAAGCACUGCAAAGCAUAUUUUUUUGCCAAGUGGACAUGAUAAGGGUUUUAUUAUUAUUAUUAUUAUUAUUAUUAUCAUCAGCACAAAUGGUCAAACAUUGCCAAACUCUCCUCAUUUCUUCAAUUGUCUUUAUAACUAGGCUUGGAUUGUUUUCAGUCCUGCUCUCUUUUUCUUUGUUGGGAUUAAGGUCUUAACAUGACUCUAAGCCCCCAGAGCUGGUGCCGUGUGACCGUCCCAGUGUCUUCAUCCCUCUAUUGUCUGUGUGACCUCUCCCUGCAUUCUGAGGUGAGGUGCUGGAUGCCCUCCUGUGUCCCACCUGUCCCUGGCAUGCUGCAUGCACAGUGUCUGGGGGUGCCUCUCAACAAGAGGGCAACUCUGUGCAUAGAAACACUUGCCGGCAGCAACCGGGGUGGACUUCUGGUCGACCCCUCCGGGCCUACUCUACUUGUUAGCCAUGCUCUGCAUCAUCCCCACCUCUUAGGUCUCACAUCUUUCCUGCCCCCCAGCACUGGGGCCCCCACAUCCCAGCCUGACCCCAAAUGCAUCCCUCCCCAGUCAUAGCAAUGGAUCUCCUGCCCCAGAGAAGGAGAAGCUUCUAACACUGUUAGAAAGACUAUGAUAUAUCUGGCAAUGUAUAAGGCAUAAUGAGAGCAAAUGAUGUUCAUUGCAUUGCUACAAACAAAAAAAGAGAAGAAGAAAAAAUAGGAAACUUGUAGGAGAUCAGAGGAAAGGGUUUUAGGGUGGGCUGAGGAAGAACACAAAGGAGACAGAGGGAGCUAGUAUGCAGGAACAAAGACUAAAAUUGAAAUGCAAAGAUGGGAAAUGUGAAUACUUUAUGGAACCAUAGGGUUCAUUUAAUAUGAUAGCAGCCUGUCUUUAGAGACCUCACUGAACUCAGACAGGUGCGUAUGAGAGGCUGAAUAGAGGGACUGGGAUAGUAGUCCCAUCUCUGGCAUGGAAGGUGUGUGACUUUAGAUUGUAGUCCCAUCUCUGGCGCGGAGGGUGUAUGACUUUAGACUGGAGUCCCAUCUCUGGCGUGGAAGGGGUGUGACUUUAGACUGUAGGCCCAUCUCUGGCGUGGAAGGAGUGUGACUUUAGACUGUAGGCCCAUCUCUGGCAUGGCAGGUGUGCGACUUUAGACUGUAGUCCCAACUCUGGCGUGGAGGGUGUAUGACUUUAGACACAUUAGUCACCUUCCACUGACCUCCUUUAAUGCCCGUGUUAGGCGCUAGGGCGUGUGGAGGCUGGUGGCCAGUAGAGCUUUCUGUGAUGAAACACAGAAGGAGGGGAAUCUGCGGCAUGUCCUAAUGAGCGACUCCUUAAGCGUUUGGAAGCGAAGAUGAUUUUGUGGACUUAGGAAAAAUGAUGAGGAGGGCAUUGCAUGAGGAGCCAAAGGGCGGACGGACGUGUAAAAAUUAGGAAGUUAGUUGAAGGAGCUGUGUAACUAUGACGUGGACCAGUGCGGUGAGUAUAGGAUGAAGCAGAAGAACAGAGUGUGAAGGGAGGAAAGCAACGUCCAGAAUGUCCUCGAGGUCAGAUACGGAAGCAGUACAUGGAGUGAUAUGGCUUCCAGUUGAGUUUCAGCAAGAAUGACGGUGCUGUCUUUCAAAACAAAGAAAUCUGAAAUAGGAGCAAGGAGUUCCCAUCAGGACUCAGCGGUAAGGAACCUGACUAGUAUCCAUGAGGUCACGGGUCCCAUCCCUGGCCUUGCUCAGUGGGUUAAGGAUCUGGUGGUGCUGUGGCUGUGGUGUAGGCUGGCAUCUCCAGCUCUGAUUCGACCCCUACCCUGGGAACUUCCAUAUGCUGCAGCUGAGGCCCUAAAAAGCAAAAAAAAAAAAAAA
This 3793-nucleotide long non-coding RNA is filed under the name Sus scrofa (pig). Its description in RNAcentral is "lncRNA (ENSSSCG00015069080.1)". The record is from RNAcentral. Lineage: Eukaryota; Metazoa; Chordata; Mammalia; Artiodactyla; Suidae.